GAACGCGCAUGAGGAACGUGUCAAUGCAGGGCUGCGUCGGAUGAGCGCCCUGCAGUCAGCGUGGGCCUGGGAAACCGCCUGGAGACCUCGGCUCUUCUCCUGCGAUGCCUUUAGAAGAGAGCCCUGGUGGAUCGGAGAAAAAGCAACUGAGGAUGGGACUUGGCAUUCUUAGCAUUCUAUGUGGAAUAAACAGGAUCCAUCUGGGCUGUCUGAGGCAUUCCAGCUUCCCAUUCCCCCGUUCAGGCAGAGCGUAACCAGGGGGUCCAGUGCCCGGGAAGUUACCGAAAGGUCACUAGUUUGAAUCUCCGAGCUGACACGGACACUCUCAGUCACUGCAUGUGGACCUGAAGCCAUGGACCACGCUCCAGGACCACCUGGCCUGCCUGACGCCCGGCCAUCCCAGUACACCGUCCAGCUGAUCUUUUGGUUGAUACGUGGUCUUGGCUUCUAACCUCUGCCUGUGAAAAGCCAACUGACAUUUCCAUCUUCUCCAGACGCGUUGACUUUGCGCCAUCUAUGACCCAGUUGACUAUUUUUGAAAGCACGGCAUUAAAAGCCAACUGACAUUCACAUUUACUCCUCAGAAGUAAAAUGUUUUCGAUCCGCUGAUCAUGUGACCUAUUUGAACAUCUUAAUUAAUAAUCAGGGAUUAUUUACUAUUUCUCGGUCUCCGCCAUUGCCAGAAGAGGACUGGCCACUGUUGAUUUCUUUUUGGGGUCUUAAGUUAGGUAUCUGUAGACCUGGACAUCCCGUCAACAAAACAGCUAAAUCUUUUGAUUGCACUCAGAGAACCAUCUUGGCAGAGCUAUAACAAAUGUGGUUGAAAACACCUUUUGAAAGUGAACCAUUUACCUUGACAUCUUGAUAGGUAAGAAACGAUCCAAUCCCUGAUGACUUCAAUUUGACAUCACGUGAACAACUGCAAUGUAAGUACCCGUCAGUUUAUGUCAACUGGCAGCAGUAUAAGCACCUGU
Esox lucius (northern pike) is the source of this 974-nucleotide long non-coding RNA. RefSeq lists it as uncharacterized. The record is from RefSeq and is a predicted model, not a curated record. Lineage: Eukaryota; Metazoa; Chordata; Actinopteri; Esociformes; Esocidae. The transcript is spliced from 3 exons.